RNAcentral lists this ribosomal RNA (117 nucleotides) under Candidatus Tantalella remota. Lineage: Bacteria; Pseudomonadati; Candidatus Omnitrophota. The record is from RNAcentral.
UGGAGUGCUUUUGCAGAGGGGGAAACACCCGUUCCCUUUCCGAAUACGGCAGUUAAGCCCCUCGUGGUCGAUGGUACUACGCUGGCAACGGCGCGGGAGAGUAGAACAGCGCUCCAU